UAAAGCGCGCGCAGGCGGUCCUUUAAGUCUGAUGUGAAAGCCCACGGCUCAACCGUGGAGGGUCAUUGGAAACUGGGGGACUUGAGUGCAGAAGAGGAGAGCGGAAUUCCACGUGUAGCGGUGAAAUGCGUAGAGAUGUGGAGGAACACCAGUGGCGAAGGCGGCUCUCUGGUCUGUAACUGACGCUGAGGCGCGAAAGCGUGGGGAGCGAACAGGAUUAGAUACCCUGGUAGUCCACGCCGUAAACGAUGAGUGCUAAGUGUUAGAGGGUUUCCGCCCUUUAGUGCUGCAGCAAACGCAUUAAGCACUCCGCCUGGGGAGUACGGUCGCAAGACUGAAACUCAAAGGAAUUGACGGGGGCCCGCACAAGCGGUGGAGCAUGUGGUUUAAUUCGAAGCAACGCGAAGAACCUUACCAGGUCUUGACAUCCUUAUGCCAUCUCUAGAGAUAGAGCUUUCCCUUCGGGGACAUAAGUGACAGGUGGUGCAUGGUUGUCGUCAGCUCGUGUCGUGAGAUGUUGGGUUAAGUCCCGCAACGAGCGCAACCCUUGAUCUUAGUUGCCAGCAUUCAGUUGGGCACUCUAAGGUGACUGCCGGUGACAAACCGGAGGAAGGUGGGGAUGACGUCAAAUCAUCAUGCCCCUUAUGACCUGGGCUACACACGUGCUACAAUGGAUGGUACAAAGGGCAGCGAAACCGCGAGGUUAAGCCAAUCCCAUAAAACCAUUCUCAGUUCGGAUUGCAGGCUGCAACUCGCCUGCAUGAAGCCGGAAUCACU
RNAcentral lists this ribosomal RNA (777 nucleotides) under uncultured bacterium. Its description in RNAcentral is "bacterial SSU rRNA". It matches the Rfam family "Bacterial small subunit ribosomal RNA", at positions 561 to 1336 of the family's 1533-position model. The record is from RNAcentral.